This 491-nucleotide ribosomal RNA is filed under the name uncultured bacterium. RNAcentral describes it as "partial 16S ribosomal RNA". It matches the Rfam family "Bacterial small subunit ribosomal RNA", at positions 29 to 507 of the family's 1533-position model. The record is from RNAcentral.
GUGAACGCUGGCGGUAGGCCUAACACAUGCACGUCGAACAGCAGCACAGUAAGAGCUUGCUCUUACGGGUGGCGAGUGGCGGACGGGUGAGGAAUACAUCGGAAUCUACUUUUUCGUGGGGGAUAACGUAGGGAAACUUACGCUAAUACCGCAUACGACCUACGGGUGAAAGCAGGGGAUCUUCGGACCUUGCGCGAUUGAAUGAGCCGAUGUCGGAUUAGCUAGUUGGCGGGGUAAAGGCCCACCAAGGCGACGAUCCGUAGCUGGUCUGAGAGGAUGAUCAGCCACACUGGAACUGAGACACGGUCCAGACUCCUACGGGAGGCAGCAGUGGGGAAUAUUGGACAAUGGGCGCAAGCCUGAUCCAGCCAUACCGCGUGGGUGAAGAAGGCCUUCGGGUUGUAAAGCCCUUUUGUUGGGAAAGAAAAGCAGCAGGUUAAUACCCCGCUGUUCUGACGGUACCCAAAGAAUAAGCACCGGCUAACUUCGUG